RNAcentral lists this long non-coding RNA (1179 nucleotides) under Arabidopsis thaliana (thale cress). Its description in RNAcentral is "potential natural antisense gene, locus overlaps with AT1G06260 (AT1G06265)". The record is from RNAcentral. Lineage: Eukaryota; Viridiplantae; Streptophyta; Magnoliopsida; Brassicales; Brassicaceae.
AGUCGUAUAAUUUAGUUUGUUUUAGUCAACUGACAUAUGUGUUUAUGUUAUGCCUGUUUCUCCAGAAGUCAUUUUUUUUUUGGUCUUGAAAACUGAAAUUUUCUCUUCUUUUGACAUUUUGCAGGUAAAGGUACUCGUUGUAAAACUGGUGCUGAUUGGCUUUCUCUGAAGAUUGUUGAUCCUUCCAUUGUAAACUUUGGUGUUGACAAUUCUUGAGUCCUUCUUUCUUUGUCAUUUCUAAAUAAAUACAAAUUUUUGACCCAAGAAGAUUCAGUUUCUUGAGCUAUGGAAAAACAUGUGCUGGAGAAAUUUGAGGCUUCCAGGAUCAAGUUCAUUACAGUCAGAAACCCUGUUGAGAAACUUUGUUCAGAUGUGGUUCAAGACUUGCUUGCUGAAGCCUCUUUCGUUUAUGGAAAACCAUUGCCUCCCCUUCUAAUUAUUACAUGAAUAUGCUUUGAAAAGAAAUCAUGAAUAUGGAAAGAAGCCAUGGGUAUUGUUCAGCUAGAAAACUGAACCAAGGAUGAUGCUUGCUUUGUCAUGCGGAUCUUUAUAACCUGUUAACUUCUCUGAGGCGGUCUAAUCAGUCCAUUACAGAUGAGAAGAAGAGCUUUCCGAGGUCACAAGUCCCCAUGUUCAAAAACUCCUGAAUCAUGACUGUCUGAUUUUGCAAAAGAAUGUUCAGAUGAUUCUGAAGCAGUGCCAGAAAGGUUUAUCUACAGAGAGGAAUGUCGGAAAAUGAAGACAAUGGUCAUAAGGGGUGGCUGAUUCUGUUUGCAGGAAAGAUCCAGAUAUUAGACAACAUGCUCUGGCGAGCGAACCAGUCUUACUUGAUGGUGACAACUCUUUUUGAGAAAUUUAGUUUCAGGUUCCAAACCAUUGAUGAAAGAUAAUGGAAUCUUCAAGAAUGAGGCAGAGCAGAGAACAUGAAUACAUUGAAACUCACCGGUCAAGUACUCAAUUGCACCUUAACAACGCUGGUCGCUAAGUAUAAGCCCCUGCUUCGGUUCUGGAUAGAUGUUUCCGGUUUGGUUUAGCCGAAUAAAAUUAGACAGGCUAUAGAGGAAAUAGUCUUUAAUUAAUUUAAUUUCGAUGUAACUAACAAUAGUACAUGUUUUAAGCGUUGAUUAACCGUUAAAAAAAGUGAUGUGAAUCCUACAAAUUUGUAAUAAACGUACACUU